UACGUAGGUGGCAAGCGUUGUCCGGAUUUAUUGGGCGUAAAGAGCGUGUAGGCGGCUUUACAGGUCCGUUGUGAAAACUCGAGGCUCAACCUCGAGACGCCGGUGGAAACCGUAAGGCUAGAGUCCGGAAGAGGAGAGUGGAAUUCCUGGUGUAGCGGUGAAAUGCGCAGAUAUCAGGAAGAACACCCGUGGCUAAGGCGGCUCUCUAGUACGGUACUGACGCUGAGACGCGAAAGCGUGGGGAGCGAACAGG
RNAcentral lists this ribosomal RNA (253 nucleotides) under uncultured bacterium. Its description in RNAcentral is "partial 16S ribosomal RNA". It matches the Rfam family "Bacterial small subunit ribosomal RNA", at positions 524 to 776 of the family's 1533-position model. The record is from RNAcentral.